AUUGAACGCUGGCGGCGUGCUUAACACAUGCAAGUCGAACGAAGUGGCGAACGGGUGAGUAACGCGUAAUAAACCUGCCCUUCAGAGGGGGACAACAGUUGGAAACGACUGCUAAUACCGCAUACUGAAGGAGGGGAUUGCGUCUGAUUAGCUAGUUGGAGGGGUAACGGCCCACCAAGGCGAUGAUCAGUAGCCGGUCUUAGCGGAUGAGUGGCCACAUUGGGACUGAGACACGGCCCAGACUCCUACGGUAGGCAGCAGUGGGGAAUCUUCCGCAAUGGACGAAGGUCUGACGAGGCAACGCCGCGUGAGUGAUGACGGCCUUCGGGUUGUAAAGCUCUGUUAAUCGGGACGCGGUACCGGAAUAGAAAGCCACGGCUAACUCCGUGCCACCAGCCGCGGUAAUAC
This 408-nucleotide ribosomal RNA is filed under the name uncultured bacterium. Its description in RNAcentral is "partial 16S ribosomal RNA". It matches the Rfam family "Bacterial small subunit ribosomal RNA", at positions 30 to 526 of the family's 1533-position model. The record is from RNAcentral.